Molecule: ribosomal RNA, 508 nt
Filed under: uncultured bacterium
Lineage: Bacteria
Description: partial 16S ribosomal RNA
Rfam family: Bacterial small subunit ribosomal RNA
Source: RNAcentral
AUUGAACGCUGGCGGCAUGCCUUACACUUGCAAGUCGAACGGCAGCGGGGGAGAAGCUUGCUUUUCCUGGUGGCGAGUGGCGAACGGGUGAGUAAAGUAUCGGAACGUGCCCAGUCGUGGGGGAUAACGUAGCGAAAGUUACGCUAAUACCGCAUACGAUCUAUGGAUGAAAGCGGGGGAUCGCAAGACCUCGCGCGAUUGGAGCGGCCGAUAUCAGAUUAGGUAGUUGGUGGGGUAAAGGCUCACCAAGCCGACGAUCUGUAGCUGGUCUGAGAGGACGACCAGCCACACUGGGACUGGGACACGGCCCAGACUCCUACGGGAGGCAGCAGUGGGGAAUUUUGGACAAUGGGCGAAAGCCUGAUCCAGCCAUGCCGCGUGCAGGAUGAAGGCCUUCGGGUUGUAAACUGCUUUUGUACGGAACGAAAAGGUUUGGCCUAAUAAGCUGAGCUCAUGACGGUACCGUAAGAAUAAGCACCGGCUAACUACGUGCCAGCCGCCGCAGUAA